RNAcentral lists this ribosomal RNA (793 nucleotides) under uncultured bacterium. Its description in RNAcentral is "bacterial SSU rRNA". It matches the Rfam family "Bacterial small subunit ribosomal RNA", at positions 8 to 796 of the family's 1533-position model. The record is from RNAcentral.
AGAGUUUGAUCCUGGCUCAGGAUGAACGCUAGCGGCAGGCUUAAUACAUGCAAGACGAACGGUAAGUUGGAUAGCAAUAUCUGACCUAGAGUGUCGUACGGGUGCGUAACGGGUAUGCAAUCUGCCCUGUACAGGAGGAUAGCUCCCCGAAAGGGGAAUUAAUACUUCAUAAUAUAAUUGGAUGGCAUCAUUUGAUUAUUAAAGCUGAGGCGGUACAGGAUGAGCAUGCUUCUGAUUAGCUAGUUGGCGGUGUAACGGACCACCAAGGCGAUGAUCAGUAGGGGACCUGAGAGGGUGAUCCCCCACACUGGCACUGAGAUACGGGCCAGACUCCUACGGGAGGCAGCAGUAGGGAAUAUUGGUCAAUGGGUGAGAGCCUGAACCAGCCAUGCCGCGUGCAGGAAGACGGCCUUCUGGGUUGUAAACUGCUUUUGUCAGGGGGUAAAAGACCCAUGCGUGGGAAAUUGAAAGUACCUGGCGAAUAAGCCACGGCUAACUACGUGCCAGCAGCCGCGGUAAUACGGAGGGUGCAAGCGUUAUCCGGAAUCACUGGGUUUAAAGGGUGCGUAGGCGGUUUGAUAAGUCAGUUGUGAAAUUCCCCGGCUUAACCGGCGGGACUGCGAUUGAUACUGUCAGACUUGAAUUAGGUUGAGGUAGGCGGAAUGUGGCAUGUAGCGGUGAAAUGCAUAGAUAUGCCAUAGAACACCGAUUGCGAAGGCAGCUUGCUGGACCUUAAUUGACGCUGAGGCACGAAAGCGUGGGGAGCAAACAGGAUUAGAUACCCUGGUAGUCC